AUCUUUAUGGGUCCCUGGUUAGGCCACAGUGUUCUCACCGCUGCGGCCUGGGUUCAAUUCCCGGCCGGGGAA
This is a non-coding RNA of Pangasianodon gigas (Mekong giant catfish), 72 nucleotides long. The record is from the annotation of a GenBank genome assembly. NCBI's taxonomy places the organism in Eukaryota, Metazoa, Chordata, Actinopteri, Siluriformes, Pangasiidae.